Molecule: ribosomal RNA, 608 nt
Filed under: Uromyces sp. H92802
Lineage: Eukaryota; Fungi; Basidiomycota; Pucciniomycetes; Pucciniales; Pucciniaceae
Description: eukaryotic LSU rRNA
Rfam family: Eukaryotic large subunit ribosomal RNA
Source: RNAcentral
AACUAACAAGGAUUCCCCUAGUAAUGGCGAAUGAAGAGGGAAAAGCCCAAAUUUGUAAUCUGGCUCUUUCAGAGUCCGAAUUGUAAUUUUAAGAAACUGUUUUCCAGUGCUGGACCAUAUAUAAGGUCUGUUGAAAAGCAGCAUUCAUAGAAGGUGAUAAUCCCUGUUCAUGAUAUGGACUACCCAGUGCAAUAUGAUACAGUCUCUAAGAGUCGAGUUGUUUGGGAAUGCAGCUCAAAGAGGGUGGUAAAUUCCAUCUAAGGCUAAAUAUUGAUGAGAGACCGAUAGCAAACAAGUACCGUGAGGGAAAGAUGAAAAGAACUUUGGAAAGAGAGUUAACAGUACGUGAAAUUGUUAAAAGGGAAACAAUUGAAGUUAGACUUGUUAUUAUUAGUUCAACCUUUUUUUAAGGGAGUAUUCUAAUGAUUAACAGACCAACAUCAACUUUUGAGUGUUGGAGAAGGGCUUAAGGAAAUGUAGCAGUCUCUGAUUGUGUUAUAGUCCUGAGCUUUGAUAUAAUGCUUAAGGUUGAGGAUUGCAGUAAGCAUUCAAGGUGGAACAAAUUAUUGUUCUUCUUACUGAGGAUGUUGGUGCAAUAGCUUUAAAUG